RNAcentral lists this unclassified non-coding RNA (370 nucleotides) under soil metagenome. RNAcentral's name for it is "partial contains 5.8S ribosomal RNA, internal transcribed spacer 2, and large subunit ribosomal RNA". The stretch from base 1 to 120 matches the Rfam family "5.8S ribosomal RNA", at positions 35 to 154 of the family's 154-position model. The record is from RNAcentral.
GAUGAAGAACGUAGCGAAAUGCGAUAAGUAAUGUGAAUUGCAGAAUUCAGUGAAUCAUCGAAUCUUUGAACGCACCUUGCGCCCGCCAGCAUUCUGGCGGGCAUGCCUGUUCGAGCGUCAUUUCAACCCUCGAGCCCGACUUCCUUGCGGAGGACGGCUCGGCGUUGGGGGACGGCACACUCCCCCCGGCUCGCCGGGGACGCCGCCCCCGAAAUUCAGUGGCGGCCCUCGGAGGCGACCUCUGCGUAGUAACUCAACCUCGCAAAGGGAAGCUCCGAGCGGCCACGCCGUGAAACCCCAACUAUAUCAAGGUUGACCUCGAAUCAGGUAGGACUACCCGCUGAACUUAAGCAUAUCAAUAAGCGGAGGA